AACAUAUCCGGUGGACAUUUCCUUGUCAACUCCUUAAACCUCUCCCAUACCUCAUAGAGUGUUUCACCAUCCUGCUGUCUGAAAGUUUUCACCUCAGCUCUUAACCU
Small nucleolar RNA from Arachis stenosperma, 107 nucleotides. Lineage: Eukaryota; Viridiplantae; Streptophyta; Magnoliopsida; Fabales; Fabaceae. The record is from RefSeq and is a predicted model, not a curated record.